UACGGAGGGUGCAAGCGUUGUCCGGAUUUAUUGGGUUUAAAGGGUGCGUAGGCGGCCCGUUAAGUCAGUGGUGAAAGCCUCCAGCUCAACUGGAGAACUGCCAUUGAUACUGACGGGCUUGAGUACAGACGAGGUUGGCGGAAUUGAUUGUGUAGCGGUGAAAUGCAUAGAUACAAUCAAGAACUCCGAUUGCGUAGGCAGCUAACUAGGCUGUAACUGACGCUGAGGCACGAAAGCGUGGGGAGCGAACAGGAUUAGAUACCCUGGUAGUCCACGCUGUAAACGAUGAUUACUCGAUGUCGGCGAUAAACUGUCGGCGUCUUAGCGAAAGCGUUAAGUAAUCCACCUGGGGAGUACGCCCGCAAGGGUGAA
RNAcentral lists this ribosomal RNA (372 nucleotides) under uncultured bacterium. Its description in RNAcentral is "bacterial SSU rRNA". It matches the Rfam family "Bacterial small subunit ribosomal RNA", at positions 524 to 898 of the family's 1533-position model. The record is from RNAcentral.